AGCACUCUCUCCUUGUUUCUAUGGCAGGUUACUGGCUACGACUUUACGGAAAGCACGGUUUGCUUUUGGUUAUUUGUGUGUUUGUAUAAACCAGGAGGAAGAGGAAAGCCCAGUUGCCAGGCAGAGAUGGGAAAAGAGAUCUGUGAGCAGAAAUCCUGGCUGGAAACAUCUGUGGAAGGGAAAACACUCAUCAUCUUGGGUCUCCAGUUAAUGUGGCUUAACCUUGAGCCUCAACAUCUUCCAUGGCAGCAGAGCCAAAUGGUGACAUCCUGUGCUGUUCUCUCCAAGGAAAAAUAUGAGCUCCUCGACCCGGAGGUAACUCCGCAGCGCAGAGAUGGAGGGACGACAACCAGAUCCCUUGUGGUCCCACUGGGUCAGCUCACAGUGAAAAACAACAGGUCUGCAAAAUCAGCGUGUAAUUUUGGUGGAAGGAGUUUAACUGUUUGUCCAAGAGGACAUGCAGGGAUUUGGCUGGGACAGACCAACACGGAGGCAAUGGCAAAAGGUCAGCAAAAUGUAUCUUGCAAAAUUUUCUUUGUUCUGCGUUUGAUUUACAAGAAGGGGAAUACAAACCUCUUAUUUAGAGAUAACUGUGGGUCUGACACUGGAAAAAAAGCUAUGCAGUAAAAAUAAUAAGUGAGUCAUGAUGAUAAUGAGGCUAUAGUUAUGCAAUACUGAGUUAUCCUGAUUUCCUUUGCAGGCAAUGCACGAUUGUCCAUUUUGAUAUUCAAGGUAAUCUGUGUUGCUCCUGCCUUGGGGCCUGUAUUGAUACCUCCGUGCAGUUCCAUCCUGCAGAAGAGAAUAUACCAAUAUUUGCAGAAUAAUAACUUUCACAGUCUCUUUCACAACCAAACAUACCAUAACAGUAUUUGUACUGCUUGGUUUGCUGACAGUAAUGUUCAAAGAGGCAUUUUAUGAUGUGUUUCUUCUCCUAAUCUAUAUUUGCCUUCAGUUGAUUUUGAAAACGUUUUCCAGCUCCUGAGUCCUAAUGAACCAGCCAUUUAUGUGCUUGUCUUACAGAAUCAAGCACAGAAUGCCAGAUUGGAAGGGACCUCAAGUAUGAAGGGAAGAGACCUCAAGGAUCGUGUUUCCUCAACAAUAAACUCUCCGAACUCCCAAGCA
RNAcentral lists this long non-coding RNA (1122 nucleotides) under Calidris pugnax (ruff). RNAcentral's name for it is "lncRNA (ENSCPUG00000003686.1)". The record is from RNAcentral. Lineage: Eukaryota; Metazoa; Chordata; Aves; Charadriiformes; Scolopacidae.